Molecule: ribosomal RNA, 450 nt
Filed under: uncultured bacterium
Lineage: Bacteria
Description: partial 16S ribosomal RNA
Rfam family: Bacterial small subunit ribosomal RNA
Source: RNAcentral
GUAGGGAAUCUUCCACAAUGGACGAAAGUCUGAUGGAGCAACGCCGCGUGAGUGAAGAAGGUCUUCGGAUCGUAAAACUCUGUUGUUAGAGAAGAACGUGCAUGAUAGUAACUGAUCAUGUAAUGACGGUAUCUAACCAGAAAGGGACGGCUAACUACGUGCCAGCAGCCGCGGUAAUACGUAGGUCCCGAGCGUUGUCCGGAUUUAUUGGGCGUAAAGCGAGCGCAGGUGGUUUUUUAAGUCUGAUGUGAAAGCCUUCGGCUUAACCGAAGAAUAGCAUUGGAAACUGGAAGACUUGAGUGCAGAAGAGGAGAGUGGAAUUCCAUGUGUAGCGGUGAAAUGCGUAGAUAUAUGGGGGAACACCAGUGGCGAAAGCGGCUCUCUGGUCUGUAACUGACGCUGAGGUUCGAAAGCGUGGGUAGCAAACAGGAUUAGAAACCCCGGUAGUCC